GAAGGUAUAGCUCAGUGGUAGAGCAUGUGUCUAGCAUGCGCGAGGUCCUAGGUUCAAUCCCUAGUGCUUCCA
RNAcentral lists this transfer RNA (72 nucleotides) under Camelus bactrianus (Bactrian camel). It matches the Rfam family "tRNA". From Rfam's summary of the family: Transfer RNA (tRNA) molecules are approximately 80 nucleotides in length. Their secondary structure includes four short double-helical elements and three loops (D, anti-codon, and T loops). Further hydrogen bonds mediate the characteristic L-shaped molecular structure. tRNAs have two regions of fundamental functional importance: the anti-codon, which is responsible for specific mRNA codon recognition, and the 3' end, to which the tRNAs corresponding amino acid is attached (by aminoacyl-tRNA synthetases). tRNAs cope with the degeneracy of the genetic code in two manners: having more than one tRNA (with a specific anti-codon) for a particular amino acid; and 'wobble' base-pairing, i.e. permitting non-standard base-pairing at the 3rd anti-codon position. RNAcentral also lists the same sequence under 1 other name. Lineage: Eukaryota; Metazoa; Chordata; Mammalia; Artiodactyla; Camelidae. The record is from Rfam by way of RNAcentral.